Callithrix jacchus (white-tufted-ear marmoset) is the source of this 4098-nucleotide long non-coding RNA. The record is from Ensembl. Lineage: Eukaryota; Metazoa; Chordata; Mammalia; Primates; Cebidae.
AUGGAAAAGGAACAGAUAAUCCUCUUUCCAGUACUUCUGAAUAACUCACAAGCUUCAACUUAUCUGAUGCCACUUCUACAAGCAAACUUUAGGUCUUGUUCAAGAGAGAAGAAUACCAGAAGAAAUAUUUUGGGCAGGGGGUAUCUCAGAAGACAAGAAGGAGGAGGAAGUGGGGAAGUUGCUGUGCUCAACGGCAAUAUUAUCUUCAUCUGUGCAGAGAAGGCAUCUCAGAGGUAGUGAGAACCAAUCAAAAAGAUUUACGCAUCCAAACUUAGUCCCUCUGUAAUGCUCUAAGGAAGAAUCCAUGAGCUUAGUCUUUGAUUAUCUUUAACCAGCCUUGGGAUCUGACCCAGGGCUAGGUAAUUAACAUGAGUAAUUAGCUCCUCUUUCUUUAUGAGGGCGGUAGUGGUGUAUGCUCUUGGAGAAAAGUGCACACAAACUCCGUGUGUGCCCCACACCGGCCUCCCUUAUUAUGUUCCAUCAGCAUAGCAGUGAGAUGAGCCUCCAUUUCCCUGCUUUCCCUCUUAGAAUAAUUGCCUUCUGAACAAUGGCGCAUGUCCGCUUCAUCUUGCUUACUAGGAAAACAUGAUUUGCCUCUAGAAGUAAACCUGGUCACAGGCAUGGCAGCUGGCCAUUGUAUUUAGCUCUUGAGCUUGAUAUUAGGUUUAAAAGUUAAGUUAGAUUUGCUCUACUAGAGAUUCUUGGAGGGCCUACUCUAAGUCAGGCUCCUAUUGGAUCCAUCCACACACUUAUUUUUCAGAUGAGGAAGGCCGUGACCCAAGGACUCCUAUUCAGCCUCUCUGGCCCCCACAAUUUCCCCAGUCUUUUCAGGCUCUGAACUGCCGCCUCCCUCAGGAGGCUUGAUAUAUCCUAAAAAUGGUGGCCGUGGCCAGCUUCUGUAAAAAGGAGAUGGGUCACAUCCUAUGUGUGGGCCAUGCACUAUGUUUUUUCAAAAUUAAUUCUCCCAGGAAAACUUCUGAGAGUUUUCCCAGUCACCCUACGAGGUACACCGGAAACUGAUUUAUAACGUCGGGAAAAAUCAACACUGAGACAAUGGAUUACUCAGCAAGGCUAGUUUUACUUCCUGCAGGAAGGGUGCAACUCGCUGGCAGUCUUGCCAUAAGAGCACACCUGAACAGAAGAGACAGGGACAUUUAUAACUUCCAUAACCUGAGGCAGUUGCCCUACUGCUGUGUCCAGUUUCCAUUGGCUGGAAUGGGACCUCACAUUCUAUGCUUGACCUGACUGGCUAAAAACUUGGAAGUUUUCUAAAGAAGUAAAGGCAGAGGAGAACAAAGGAAAAGAGUAAGUAACUUGAGGGAUGCUUAGAAAAUCGAUAAUAUUUUCAAAUAAGGAAGGGGAAUAAGCUUUGACCUAAGACUUUCCUGGGCUUGUCCAGGCCUGUCAGGGCAAAUAUCGAGGUUAAAGUGUAAGAACUAAGAACAUGGAUGCACUUAUUUCUUCAUUAUGACUAACAGCUACUUCAAGAUUAUUAGCAAAAGAUUUAAAGUAAAUUAACCUUUGAAGAAACUAUUAUUUAUUCGUAAUGAACUAAGAGGAAAUCUUUGAAAAGGAACCUUUUAUUUAUUCUCAUUUCCUACAUACACUAAGGGUAGGGAAGGCAAGUCCCAUGAGUUCUUUGGGCCCCUUUAAAACGGCCACUCUCCCAGCCUCUUUAUGGGCAUCUGCAUCUGUUGUUUACAAGGAAGUUUAGGAAAGAUGGCUGAGCUCUCCACCGACCAUCCUAACAAACAAGUCAGUGGCCUCAACUCAGACCCUCUAGAGGAGACCUCAGUGCCUCAUAAUUUGGAGCAGUGAGUGGACACCCACCUGUGUCACUUGAAACGGGCUCUGCUGCAUCCCCAACAGGGUCUGAAAUCCACUGUUAGCAUUAAAUGCAAGCAGUUACUUCAUGCAGCCUGUGCAUGCGUGUGUGUGUGUGUGUGUGUGUGUGUGUGUGACACCAGUGGAAAGUGGGAGGUAGAGAAAUUACAAGAAAAGGGAAAGACCGUUUAGGCUGUUCCUUGGAAGAGUUUACUGGGAAAUGAAACGAUCAUCAUCUCAAACAGCGUGGUGACAUAGGUCAUGAAGAUGUACACAUCCCCACAGAGUCAUAUCCUUGUCGAGUGGUGGGAAUAACCUGGCAGGAGACAGUUUUGAGACCCAGGCUCUAGAGUCAGGGAAAUAUGCACUCGGUUUCCAGCUUUCACUCCCUGUCUUCAUCACCUACAGGAAGUUCCUUAACUUAUGGAGGCCCCCGUUUCCCUAUCUGUUAAAAUGGAGGAUAAUAUUCUACCCUCACAGGAUUGUUGUCCUAAAUCAGAUAAUGCAGCUGAAGCAAAUCAACUGAAGACUAUUUGACUCCCAAAUCCAUGUGCCUAGGCACUGGGCAUUAAUUACUUUUGUGUGCGUGCAAUGAUCACGUGUGAGCAUGUACUUCUAUUGCAGUGAGCUCAGGGGCAAGCGGAUCAUGAGGUUAGGAGUUCGAGAUCAGCCUGGCCAACCUGGUGAAACCCCGUCUCUGCUAAAGAUACAAAAAAUCAUCUGGGCAUGGUGGUGCAUGCCUGUAAUCCCAGCUACUUGGUAGGCUGAGGCAGGAGAAUCGCCUGAACCCAGGAGAUGGAGGUUGCAGUGAGCAGAGAUUGAGCCAUUGCACUCCAGCCUGGGUGACAGGGCAAGAACCGGUCUCAAAAAGAAAAUGCAUUUAAGGUUAAUGUCUUCAGUUUUGACAGUCUUAGUUUAGAGCUAAUAGGUUGAAUGGGGGCAUGGAAGGCCAUUUAAGAACUGCUAAUAAGUAUUAGCAUCUUGGCUUCACUGGGGAUUCCACCUACUAGGAAUGAAAAGUGAUGUCUUGGAGUGUUGUGGUUAAGUGGUUUCCACCAAGCCUCAGGCAGCAAUUAGUGCACACAGAGUUAUCCAGACUGAGUAUAAAAGCCUGUUUAUGGAGGGGUUAUGUGUUCUGGUACCAGCCAGCUAUUAUCUAGUGGUCUUAUUUAUGGUGGGUUAAGUAAGAAUGAGAACCAGAGAAUCAUCCUUUAUGUGGGUGAUAUGGGCUUCUCAGACACUGGGCAUCUCCUAGACCUCUUGUAAAUGGCAAUAAAGCAAUAUAACAACAAACAACAUACAUGCCUUCCCCCAUUACCCCCUACGCUCCAGAAUUCCUACAACUGUGGGCUUUCAAUAUGUUUACAGGAAAUAUGAGAGAUGCUUAUUUCAAAAAUAACUUUAAAAAAUUAUCCAAGUAGGCCAGGCAUGUUGGCUCACGCCUGUAAUCCCAGAAUUGGGAGGCUGAGGUGGGUAGAUCACCUGAGGUCAGGAGUUCAAGACCAGCCUGGCCAACAUGGUGAAACCCUGUCUCUACUGAAAAUACAAAAAUUAGCUGGAUGUGGUGGCCCAAUCCUGUAGUCCCAGCUACUUUGGAGGCUGAGGCAGAAGAAUUGCUUGAACCUGGGAGGUGAAGGUUGCAGUGAGCCGAGAUCAAGCCCCUGCACUCCAGCCUGGGCCACAAAGCAGGACUCUGUCCCAAAAUAAAUAAAUAAAAUAAAAUAAAAAUUAAAUUAAAAAGCGAAAAUGUGAUGAAGAAAAGGAAGUAAAACAGUCAUCUACUAGCCCCCUCCUGCUCUCCUGCAGGAUAACCAUUGUUAACAUUUUGGUGUGAAUCACUUUAGGAUCUUUUAAAUGUAUGUACACACAUAUGCACACAGACUACAUGUGUAUAGAUGUAUGCAUAUGUUUAUAGAAAUGGGAUUGCAUUGCAGUUAUAUAACCUGAAUUUUUCACAUACUAUCUCAUAAACAUUUUCUGAGUUAUUAAAUCUUUGAGGCACUGCAUCUCUUUAUAAAGGAACACUUGCUUCAACAUUAGACAUUUACAGUGCCCCAGCAGUGCGGCCCUCCAAAGAGGUCUGGCUUCUGUGUGUACCCCUUGGGUGUCUUGUGAAUUCAGGAAGCUUGAAUUGGCUACUGGAGCCCAACGUGUAAAAAAUCAGCUUUCAAAGGCACUAAAUAGGAACCAGAGUUAUUGUGGCUUCUUCAUAAAAGUAAACUGGAAUAACAAAUACUGUCUGACAUCUCAGCCAGCAGGGAGGCUUUGCUGUGU